RNAcentral lists this long non-coding RNA (1049 nucleotides) under Mus musculus (house mouse). RNAcentral describes it as "Jpx transcript, Xist activator". The record is from RNAcentral. Lineage: Eukaryota; Metazoa; Chordata; Mammalia; Rodentia; Muridae.
CACGGCACCACCAGGCUUCUGUAACUUAUAAAAUGGCGGCGUCCACAUGUAUACGUCCUUCCCGGGAUUAGCCAGGCAGCUAGAGGAUGACUUAAUAAGGAGAGUGGAGAAACUGGCCAAUUAAUGAACAUGCCCUGAUCAUUAAUCCACCACUGAAGGAAGUCAGAGCAGAAACUCAAGCAGGGACUUGAAGAAGAAACCAUGGAGGAAUACGGCUUGCUGGCUCACCUUUCAAGAUGUUCAACUUGGCUGCUCCAGCUACCAUGCCUGCUGCCUGCCACCUCCACUCUGUCAUGGAACUGUCCCUUUCUACUCCACGUGCUAUCCAGAUUUACCUAAACCACCAUGCAACACACAAGCACUAUCCCUCUGAUGUGUGAAGUCAGAUACCAGCCUCUGAUUCAGAGACUGCCACCCAAUAAUGAGUUGUAAUUCAGCAGGAUGUGGCCAGAAUGAUCUCAGUGCCACCUACGCCCCUAACACCACCUUUUCUAUAAAAUAUGUCCCUCUGUUCCUUUUACCUAAACGAAGAAGCUGAAAGCAAAAGAGGCUGAAAACCUUCUGUCCCAUUAGUGAGGAGUGUGUCCUUUUCAGAGAGCAAAGCCCUAAACAGAGAGAGCUGUGGGCAAGGACUCACUCAGCAGCUUCCCAGGCACCCAGGGCCUAGAAGCCACUGAGCAGUGACUCACCACAGAAGUCACUAUGCUCAUUGUCCUGCAGAAUUUUCCAGCUGUCCCUUUAUCUCAAAAUGUAUUUGGGAUUUUUUUUUAAGCACCCGCACCAGCCCAAACUACAAAGUUUAAAGCGCCCUUUAACCCAAUUUGGUAAUGUCAAUCAACUUGGGGCCGUCUUGCAGUACACAUCCCCCUCACUACAGGACCAUUAACACCCUUUGCUUUCUGUGGCUGGCCUAAAGCAUUACCUUAGACUAUGCAUACUGUGCCAUUGGGAAGGACAUUCUGACUUGGCGCCUCCUUUGACAUCCCUGCCCCCUCAAUGAUGGGGUAGCUGAGUAAAUUUGUUGAAAUAAAACAAGAUAGCUUGCUGCA